GCGGGGCAUGGUGGUGCAUGCCUGUAAUCCCGGCUACUUGGGAGGCUGAGGUAGGAGAAUCGCUUGAACCUGGGAGGCAGCGGUUGCAGUGAGCCGAGAUUGUGCCACUGCACUCCAGCCUAGGUGACAGAGUGAGACUCUAUCUCAA
Molecule: unclassified non-coding RNA, 148 nt
Organism: Macaca mulatta (Rhesus monkey)
Lineage: Eukaryota; Metazoa; Chordata; Mammalia; Primates; Cercopithecidae
Rfam family: Metazoan signal recognition particle RNA
About the family: The signal recognition particle (SRP) is a universally conserved ribonucleoprotein. It is involved in the co-translational targeting of proteins to membranes. The eukaryotic SRP consists of a 300-nucleotide 7S RNA and six proteins: SRPs 72, 68, 54, 19, 14, and 9.
Source: Ensembl